UUGGCGACCGGCGCACGGGUGAGUAACGCGUAUGCAACCUGCCCGAUACCGGGGUAUAGCCCAUGGAAACGUGGAUUAACACCCCAUAGUACUUUUAUCCUGCAUGGGAUGUGAGUUAAAUGUUCAAGGUAUCGGAUGGGCAUGCGUCCUAUUAGUUAGUUGGCGGGGUAACAGCCCACCAAGACGAUGAUAGGUAGGGGUUCUGAGAGGAAGGUCCCCCACAUUGGAACUGAGACACGGUCCAA
This 245-nucleotide ribosomal RNA is filed under the name uncultured bacterium. RNAcentral's name for it is "partial 16S ribosomal RNA". It matches the Rfam family "Bacterial small subunit ribosomal RNA", at positions 88 to 334 of the family's 1533-position model. The record is from RNAcentral.